RNA transcript from Alnus glutinosa, 3009 nucleotides. RefSeq lists it as uncharacterized. The transcript is spliced from 3 exons. NCBI's taxonomy places the organism in Eukaryota, Viridiplantae, Streptophyta, Magnoliopsida, Fagales, Betulaceae. The record is from RefSeq and is a predicted model, not a curated record.
UGACUUUUCAACAAACUUUCUUCGUUCGGACCUCUGUGUCAAUUAUUGGAGUUAACCAGCUUUGAAAUCCGUUGAUGGCAGAUCUUGGCUCCGAAAUUUCGUGUCACCCAUACUGAUAUUUCUUUUCGAAAAGUUUUCAACACGAUGUCUUCGCCCGAUCAGUCUUCUGUCGCAGGUUCCGGCAACUUGAACGUUACGGAGAUAAACGAUACCGUUAUACCGGUUGUUGUCGAGAGCCUCAAAAACUUCGUGGACUUCCUGGUCCAAAAACAACCUGACAGCAACGUUGGCAACAACGGCAGCAGCCAUUCUAGCCCGGUCGACUAUAAGAAAAUGGGUAACGAAGUGGAGAAGUUAAGGAAAGAUCUGAUUUACAUAGGAGAAUCCUUCAAGAAUCUCAAGGGCUUCGAGGACAGAUCCAGUGACCUCUUCAAACUUCUUAAAGAACGCAGCUCCUUCAACAAUUUGCAAGACAAGCAGCUCCAAGACAAGAAGCUCCAAGCCAAGCUUAGCGCCAUCAACAAGAUUGUGAUCGAGUUGAAGCUCCGGAUCCCGUUACCCCAUAAGUUGUCCUCCGACGCCCACCGGUUCACACGGGGUGCCACCGAGUUUGAUGACUCGGAGGGGGUUGAUGAAUUGCCUGUCCUACAUGUUGACGAGGAAUUUGGGAAUAGCUUGGCUUUCCGAGACUUCCGGUUAGUAUAUGAUAAAUUGCCCAACUCCAGAAUAAAGUUGUGCUUGCUGUGUUUUGCUUUAAUUCCGGAAAAUGAGAUUGUGAAGAAGAGGUUUAUGACAUAUUGGUGGGUUGGAGAAGGAUUUAUUAGCCCACAGGGUGAGAAAGCUGAUGAUGGAACCGACACCUUCUUGUCGGUUGAGGAAGUUGCUGAUAGAAUCUUCAAAGAGCUGGCGAACAAGGACUGCAUUGAGCCCGUAAAUGAGAAGCACAGGUUUGUCGUGGACAGUUAUAAGAUGAAUCCUUUCAUCCGUUCGGCGGUGAUUUUGCUUGCCAAAAAAGCUAGGUUCUUUGAUUUUGAUGACAAAAAAUGGAAUCCCAGUGCCAAUUUUAAGACGUCUUACCGGGCGUGUUUAGUCGAUGGAUUUUCUCAGGAGUUGGUGAAAAGUGGAUCUGAAUCGGUUACAGAGAAAAGUGGAUCUGAAUCGAUUACAGAGAAAAGUGGCUCCGAAUCCGUUACAGAGAAAGAGAAAAGGAACGCUGGAUUGGAUCCAGAGAAACUGCAAACAAUAUUCAAUGUCAAUGAGCCUUAUCCUGACUUCUUCAAAUCGGAGUGGUUCUCAAAGUUGAAGACUAUCAAGGUUCUUUAUCUGGGAAGGUGGCAGACCUCAGCUAAGCAUCAUAUUGAAGUAGAGAGCGUUGAGUUCUUAAAAGGGUUGAAAAGUAUGAAACUCCUAAGGUUUUUCAGCCUUCAAGGAAUUUCUAGAAUUACCAAGCUUCCUGAUUCCCUAUGUAAGCUCUUAAAUUUGAGGAUCUUGGAUCUUAGAGCGUGUCACAGUCUAGAGGAACUUCCAGAUGGAAUAGGUUCACUCGUGAAUCUGACACACUUGGAUAUAUCUGAGUGUUACUUGCUCGAUUACAUUCCCAAAAAGAUUAAGUCUCUCUCAAAACUUCGAGUCCUUAAAGGGUUUGUAAUUGGUGACCGUCUAAGUGAAGAUUCGUGUACUCUUGCUGAUAUGUUAGACUUGAAGGAGCUGAGGAAAUUGAGCAUCUACACAAACACGAAGGCUUUCCCCAAUGCCGAAGACGUAAUCAAUCUUCAAAAGUUUAAAAAUCUUGAGAAACUUACAAUUGAGUGGGGAGCUUUUCCCACCAAUACAGACAGCGAUCCUCAGCAAGACAAGGGUGAAGAACAACCAAUGACACCAGCCACCACAAGUUCAAAGAAGAGGGGAGAUAAGAAAAAGCAAGACAAGGAUGUGGCACAACCAAUUGCAGAAGCCACCAAGAGUCCAAAGAAGAGUGGAGAUAAAAAUAAGCAAGGCGAGAGUGUGGCACAACCAAUUUCAGCAACUAACACGAGUCCUAUGAACCGUGGAAAUAACCAAAUGCAAGACAAGGGUGCGGCACAACCAAGCACCACAACUCCAAAGAACUCUGGGGGUAAGAAAAAUCAAGACAGGGGUGUAGCGGAACCAAUGGCAGGAAACACCAUGAAUCCAGAGAAUAGUGGAGAUAACAAAAAGAAGGAAAGGGGACCAGCAGCAUAUGCUAAGACUUUGUCAAAAAAAUUCACCUUUAAGCAAGGAAAGCUGGGACCAACAGAUCUCGAAGGCUUUAAGAAACUAAAGAAACUGGAUCUCAAGUGUUACCCUUGGAUGGAAGCACCCAGAUGGUUGCUGCCUGAAAAACUUCCGGACAUAGAGAAACUCUACAUCAGAGGAGGGAACCUCCAAAAUCUAAGUCCAGGUCAGGAGAAUGACAAGUGGAAAGUUAACAUACUACGUCUGAAGUUCUUGAGUAAUUUAAAGAUGGAUUGGAAAAAACUCCUGUCAUCAUUUCCAGACUUGAUUUACUUAGAGACAUACAAAUGCCCCAAACUCACUUUCUUUCCAUGUAAUGAGAACGGAAUCAGGCUGGAGCCAAGAACUGUUGAUGGAAGGAAGGCAGCCGAGAGAUAUAACAUUGUGCAUUAACUCGACUUGCAGUAGCUUCUUGUAUAUCUCCAUCCCUCCUUAUUUGGAACUAUGUGCAAAGAGUUGAAUGUUGAUCCCUAGAGUUGAAGUCUAUUGCAAGCAACUGCCCAAACUUGUGGAUGGAUAAUUUGGAAGAUACUCUUUGUGACUUUGGUUGCCUAUAGUUUUCUAUUAAUUGUAAUACAGUGAAUCUGGAGAUUUAUUUUCACUGUUUGGUUGUGUUAGUUUAUUAUUGUUGGUGUUGGUUGGAUAUUGGAGUUCAUAGACUUUAGAUGUGUUGGAUCCAAGCUUGCUCUUGAGGACACGACUAUGAGAGAACUUUAAUAUUUGGAAUAAAUUGUGUUUGGCAUUGAAUAUAAA